Molecule: transfer RNA, 96 nt
Filed under: Streptomyces sulfonofaciens
Lineage: Bacteria; Bacillati; Actinomycetota; Actinomycetes; Kitasatosporales; Streptomycetaceae
Description: tRNA-Gly
Source: RNAcentral
AAUGUGGUCGGGCACGGCAUCGAGCCCGCGGGCGCCACCGGCGCCCGACGGUCCGGGGGCGGUCCCGGGGCGGUCCCUGGACCGCCCCGCGGCACC